RNAcentral lists this unclassified non-coding RNA (820 nucleotides) under Hevea brasiliensis (rubber tree). The record is from RNAcentral. Lineage: Eukaryota; Viridiplantae; Streptophyta; Magnoliopsida; Malpighiales; Euphorbiaceae.
GAAGAUUAUGACCUGAUUACAGCUUGCAUAGAAGAAGAAGAAAUGGAUGAUGAAGAGACGAAAUCUUCCAAAAAUUCUGAUAAAUAUCUCAGAGAUAUCGGAUUCAAUUUCAUUGCAGCGGGGAAAGACACAGUCAAUGCAGCUCUAACAUGGUUUUUCUGGCUAAUUGCCACACACCCAUCAGUCGAAGAAAAGAUUAUAGAAGAGAUCAAAGCCAAGUUGCAGAGAAACGAAGAUGGGACAUGGAGGUUUUACAAUCUACAAGAGCUAAGCAAGCUAGUUUAUAUCCAUGGUGCCAUCUGCGAGACCCUUCGGCUAUACCCAGCAGUACCCUUCAACCAUAGAGUAUCAGUGCAAGAAGACACUCUCCCAAGUGGCCACCAUGUGAAAGCAAACGCAAGGGUGAUGUUUUCUUUGUAUUCAAUGGGAACUAUGGAAGAGAUAUGGGGUGAUGAUUGCCUGGAAUUCAAGCCAGAAAGGUGGAUUUCAGAGCGAGGAAGUAUCAUACAUGUUCCAUCUUACAAAUUCAUUGCGUUUAAUACAGGACCAAGAAGCUGUUUAGGUAAGGAUAUAACCUUCAUCCAGAUGAAGAUAAUAGCAACUUCCAUACUCUGGAAUUAUCACGUUAAGCUGGUUGAAGAUCACCCUGUUGCACCUUGUCUUUCUGUGAUGAUGCAUAUGAAACAUGGUUUGAAGGUGAGGAUCUCCAAGAGAGGUGAAUCUUGAACAAAAUCUGGAUCAAGAUUUUAUUGUGCUAGAUACUUAUAUAUCAGCCACAUUGAUAACUAGUAUAAACAAGUGAAGAGACUAAUUACACUUG